UGCUGUGGAUUAGUCUUUGGCUUAAGGGAAUAGUGUGGCUGGUUUGAUCUUCUAUCCAGAUCACUAAAACUUUCUCCAAAUCAGC
This is a microRNA precursor of Dasypus novemcinctus (nine-banded armadillo), 85 nucleotides long. NCBI's taxonomy places the organism in Eukaryota, Metazoa, Chordata, Mammalia, Cingulata, Dasypodidae. The record is from Ensembl.